GCUUUCCUUGUCUCGGGGUGGUUCGGGAGGCUCAAUGAACGUCUAGUGAGAGUCUCCCUGCUAACACCAGACCAACACAUCCGCGCCCCCCGGGCGGUUCCGCUCGGGAAAAGGUGCAAUUUUUGGACCC
Fundulus heteroclitus (mummichog) is the source of this 130-nucleotide small nuclear RNA. The record is from Ensembl. Lineage: Eukaryota; Metazoa; Chordata; Actinopteri; Cyprinodontiformes; Fundulidae.